CUCUAGCACAUCGGCCACUGACUCACUCUCUCUCGUUCUCUCUCUCUCUCUCUCUCUCUCUCUCUCUCUCUCUCUCUUUCUAUUUCUCUCUUUCACUCUCUGACAUUCCUGUCUGUUUGGAGUUCUGCAGAGCCGUCACCAGGAGGCUCUGUGGCCCUUACAAUGUAAACCCUGUUGAGUUUAUGCUGUUGAUCAUUAUUCACUGCUAAGACUGCUGGGCUCUGGAGCUGUGGGAGAGUGCCCACUCAGAGGAGGGGAGCAUGAACACAUUGAUCUUAUUUGGACAGAAUUUUGUCUGGGACACAUCCAAACCCAAACAGCCAAGGGAAGGACCACAACAGGGUUUUAUGGUGGAAAAAUACCCUAAAUGAUGCUGAUCCAAGCCGGAAGAUAGAGGAUGACUGCUCAUGAACUCAUGGAGGAAAAUAAUCAAAACAGUGUCUUAUUGAAAGAGGAUCAACAUGCUUGGGGCAAAUUGCAUUUAGUGCUCUGCUGUAGGAUGUGAUUGGUGAUAGAUCAGUGUGUAUUAGGUAACAACAGACUUGAAUUAACUGGCUGUUAAAUCAAUAGCACUUCUCCCUCUCCUUCUCUCUCCCUGUCUGUCUUGCUCAUUCAUUUUGCGUGGUGUGUGUGUAUGUUUGUGUAUUUUCCUUAUAGACAGUGUAUAUUUUAAAAACAGCUCAUUAUACUAAUUAUCUGGUUAGAAAAUAUAUUACUAAAGGACACGGUUCUUCGAAUAUUUGAAACAACAAAUUAGUAGUACAUUAACAUAUUCUCAGGACAGCGGUUCCCAACACGGUGUUUGCAAGACAAUUAACCGGAAAGAAAUGCAGA
This is a long non-coding RNA of Etheostoma spectabile (orangethroat darter), 834 nucleotides long. RefSeq lists it as uncharacterized. NCBI's taxonomy places the organism in Eukaryota, Metazoa, Chordata, Actinopteri, Perciformes, Percidae. The record is from RefSeq and is a predicted model, not a curated record. The transcript is spliced from 4 exons.